Molecule: long non-coding RNA, 1568 nt
Filed under: Equus caballus (horse)
Lineage: Eukaryota; Metazoa; Chordata; Mammalia; Perissodactyla; Equidae
Description: lncRNA (ENSECAG00000050549.1)
Source: RNAcentral
CUUAUAAAAGCGUUAGCAAAUUGUCACACGUUUAAAUGGCCGUGUAAUAGGUAUUGGUUUUAAUUGUCAGUACUUAAGUGGCCAUUAUGACAAAGUGUUUUGCUUCAUAAGUCAGGUAAGCCCCUCACUCUCCAAGGAAACAGGCUUGAGACUCAGCUGCUGAAAGCUUAGAGCCAAGUGUGUAACCCACUGUAACAUGUGUAUGGGACGCUGGCAUUUUGACAUUGGCCUCAGUCUUUUUUUUUUUUCAUUUUUAAAAUUUUGGUAAAAUAUGCAUAACAUAAAAUGUAUCAUUUUAAGUGUACAGUUCAGUGGCACCAAGUACACUCACAUUGUGUGCAACCAUCACCACCAUCCAUCUCCAGAACUGUCUCAUCGUCCCCAGUUGGAGCUCUGCACGUGUCAAACACUAACUCCCCAGUUCCCUCCCCAGCCCCUGGCACCCGCCGUUUCAGCCUCUGUGAAUCUGACUCCUCCACGUACCUCAUAUACGUGGAAUCAUACAGUAUUUGUCCCCUUGGGUCAGGCUUAUUUCACUUGCAAUAACGUCUUCAAGGUUGAUCCACGCUGUGGCGUGUGUCAGAAUUUCCUUCCUUUUUAAGGCGGAAUAAUAUCCCGUUGUGUGGAUGGACCGCAUUUGGUCUGUCCAUUCUUCUGACACUGGACAUUGAUUGGUUUCCACCUUUGGGCUAUUGUAAACAAGGCUGGUAUUGGCCUUGACAGUCUUAAUUCUGUUUUGUGUUCCAACCCUUGUGUUUUCCUUUUCCUUUCUCCUCUACUUCUAAUUUAUGCUUCCCUGUGACUGACAUCAGCCUCGGUUGUGGCCCCUCAGGAAAUUCUGUCAAACUACCUAAGCAGCAGGAGUUCCAAUAUCGAUGUGAGAGACGAAAGUCCAAAAUCAAAUGAGCCUUCCCACAAACGAAAAGGUCCUUAACCAUUUCUGGGGCCACCAACCCAUUCGAGAAUCUAAAAAAGUUUUGAACCCUGUCCCACUUAAAAAAGCGCACGCACUCCCACAAACACUGCGGCUUCCGUUUCCAUCCCUGAAGCCCAUCCUCGGGCCACACGUCUAUCUCUGCUCUGGAUAAUUAGUUUCUUCCCCAAAGUUUCAAAUCAGCGCAUGGCUGAUACACUGCGUGAAGCGCAUCAUCGCUUCGGAGGAUUACGCACAGCUGAAUGUCUGCACCGCGACCUUCCCCAGCGCGGACCUCAGCGGGGUGACAGCCCAGCAACAGCCAAGUGCCCUAACAAAAGGAGACGCCCACGGAGAGUAAUCCGUGAAAAUGGACUGCCUGUCCCCAUCAGAGACGCAACUGGAUGCCGAGAGGUCACGAGACCCUGGAAACGCCUUUAGAAGAAAGCUGCUUCUCUCCCACCCUUUAGGGUCCAGUGAGCACGGGAAACACAGGCCCGCGCCCUGAACCCAAGGGGGACGCCACGUAGCUGAUCAGAAAUACCCUAACUGAUGGAUUGCACUGAUUCGUUCAAUUUUAUGUUAGCACAAGAGCGAUGGAUGAUAAAAAUCCAUGUCUAUGAAGUCCAAAAGAGCUCUUUCAAUAAAUAUAAAG